Molecule: long non-coding RNA, 1023 nt
Filed under: Macaca fascicularis (crab-eating macaque)
Lineage: Eukaryota; Metazoa; Chordata; Mammalia; Primates; Cercopithecidae
Description: lncRNA (ENSMFAG00000056054.1)
Source: RNAcentral
ACGAGCAGUGGGGCUCCAGGGCGCAUCCCAAUCCCCGCAGCGCCUCCUCCGCCGCCGCCGCCUCCUCCUCCUUCCCCUCCUCCUGGCUUCAUUCACCCUCCCAGCAGCCGCGCAGCCGUUCACUCCCGGCUCAGGGCAGCGCCUGCCGCGGCUCCUCGGCUCCUGCCGCGGGUGCUGGCGGGGGCGCCGGCCCGGACUGGGGCGCUCGCGGGCUCCCGGCUCCGGGCGGCGGCUGCCGCUGCACAUGAUCAGGAAGCGGCCGCAGCAACAGGGCGGCGGUGGCGGCGGCCAGGGCCGCCACCGCCACUCCAGCCGCUCUCCAGGCACCCGCACACCCGCUACCCCUGCGCGGUCCCCGAGGCCACCCCUCCGCGCCCCCCGCCUGGCACCCGGCCGCGCGCAAAGUCCCGGGCAGGCUGCAGGAGCAGUCCCUUCCCCGCCCGCAGCCGCACACCCGGCGACGCCGGACCUCCGAGAGGAGACCCCUACCCCGGGGCGCCGAGGCCAGGCGACCACCCGCGUGGAAGUCCAGCCCUCCCCGAGACCCCCUCUCUCUCACCGCCCUCUCCGGGGAGGAGGAAUGGGAAGAGGGCGGCCGGGAAAGGGACCACCCCCCCACCCCGGCCGCCGCCACCUCCCCCCUGCGCCACCCGGAGGGAGGACAUAGCUCUCCGCACUCGCGACCGGACCAGCAGCCGGGGGAACGGGGCCCCGCCGCCGCUCUCCCCGCCCGCGCCCCCGACCGGGCGCGCCCCUGGCGGGCGCCCACCCAGCCCUGACAGCCCCUCGCCGGCCGCCCCUGCGCCCACAGUGGGGGUGUCGGCCCGGGAGCCUGGAGCCGGGGACGGUUGUAUGUACACACACACACACACACACACACACACGCACACACAGAACACGACGCGUCGAUUUCCUUCGCUCCUCUUCCAGCUGUUUUCCGUGCAGCCGAUUGGGGUUUUGGGUUUGUUUGCUGGUUGUUGCUUUUGCCCCUCUCGGGAGAUCGGGUCCGGAAAUCGGCUUUGA